AAACUCAAAUGAAUUGACGGGGGCCCGCACAAGCGGUGGAGCAUGUGGUUUAAUUCGAUGCAACGCGAAGAACCUUACCUGGUCUUGACAUCCACAGAACUUUCCAGAGAUGGAUUGGUGCCUUCGGGAACUGUGAGACAGGUGCUGCAUGGCUGUCGUCAGCUCGUGUUGUGAAAUGUUGGGUUAAGUCCCGCAACGAGCGCAACCCUUAUCCUUUGUUGCCAGCGGUUAGGCCGGGAACUCAAAGGAGACUGCCAGUGAUAAACUGGAGGAAGGUGGGGAUGACGUCAAGUCAUCAUGGCCCUUACGACCAGGGCUACACACGUGCUACAAUGGCAUAUACAAAGAGAAGCGACCUCGCGAGAGCAAGCGGACCUCAUAAAGUAUGUCGUAGUCCGGAUUGGAGUCUGCAACUCGACUCCAUGAAGUCGGAAUCGCUAGUAAUCGUAGAUCAGAAUGCUACGGUGAAUACGUUCCCGGGCCUUGUACACACCGCCCGUCACACCAUGGGAGUGGGUUGCAAAAGAAGUAGGUAGCUUAACCUUCGGGAGGGCGCUUACCACUUUGUGAUUCAUG
Molecule: ribosomal RNA, 576 nt
Filed under: Klebsiella pneumoniae
Lineage: Bacteria; Pseudomonadati; Pseudomonadota; Gammaproteobacteria; Enterobacterales; Enterobacteriaceae
Description: bacterial SSU rRNA
Rfam family: Bacterial small subunit ribosomal RNA
Source: RNAcentral